This 339-nucleotide ribosomal RNA is filed under the name Fragilariaceae sp. ID-D8. RNAcentral describes it as "SSU rRNA". It matches the Rfam family "Eukaryotic small subunit ribosomal RNA", at positions 626 to 968 of the family's 1831-position model. The record is from RNAcentral. Lineage: Eukaryota; Bacillariophyta; Fragilariophyceae; Fragilariales; Fragilariaceae.
GCUCGUAGUUGGAUUUGUGGUUGGGUCUGUCGGUCCGGCACAUUGUGCGGGUACUUGAUGGACUCGUCCAUCCUUGGGUGGAAUCUGUGUGGCAUUAAGUUGUCGUGCAGGGGAUGCCCAUCGUUUACUGUGAAAAAAUUAGAGUGUUCAAAGCAGGCUUAUGCCGUUGAAUAUAUUAGCAUGGAAUAAUGAGAUAGGACCUUGGUACUAUUUUGUUGGUUUGCGCACCGAGGUAAUGAUUAAUAGGGACAGUUGGGGGUAUUCGUAUUCCAUUGUCAGAGGUGAAAUUCUUGGAUUUUUGGAAGACGAACUACUGCGAAAGCAUUUACCAAGGAUGUU